RNAcentral lists this long non-coding RNA (309 nucleotides) under Mytilus galloprovincialis (Mediterranean mussel). The record is from RNAcentral. Lineage: Eukaryota; Metazoa; Mollusca; Bivalvia; Mytilida; Mytilidae.
GACCAGUUCAUACAAAAAUGGUAUAGUGAUUUACACACCACAUCACGUGGACAAUUUUAUUCACUGUUCAAAAAGAGAUUUGAAAUAGAAAGAUACCUUAUUAAUUUACCAGAGUCAUCUAGAAUUUGGAUUUCAAAAUUCAGAACUGCAAACUUACGAUUGCCUAUAGAAACUGGUAGAUGGUACAAUAUACCAAAAUCAGAAAGAAAAUGUAAUUUAUGCAAAGAGGAUAUUGGUGAUGAGUAUCAUGUAUUAUUUAUUUGUAAAAAUGCAGAGAUAGUAGAUUUGAGAAACAAAUAUUUACCACAG